RNAcentral lists this ribosomal RNA (468 nucleotides) under uncultured bacterium. Its description in RNAcentral is "partial 16S ribosomal RNA". It matches the Rfam family "Bacterial small subunit ribosomal RNA", at positions 28 to 507 of the family's 1533-position model. The record is from RNAcentral.
GACGAACGCUGGCGGCGUGCUUAACACAUGCAAGUCGAACGGAAAGGCCCUGCUUUUGUGGGGUGCUCGAGUGGCGAACGGGUGAGUAACACGUGAGUAACCUGCCCUUGACGUUGGGAUAACUUCAGGAAACUGGGGCCAAUACCGGAUAGGAGCUCCUGAUGCAUGGUGGGGGUUGGAAAGUUUCGGUGGAGUGGGAUGGAUUCGCGGCUUAUGAGCUUGUGGGUGGGGUAGUGGCUUACCAAGGCUUUGACGGGUAGCCGGCCUGAGAGGGUGACCGGCGACAUUGGGACUGCGAUACGGAGCAGACUCCUACGGGAGACAGCAGUGGGGAAUAUUGCACAGUGGGCGGAAGCCUAAUGCAGCGACGCCGGGUGCGGGAUGAGGGCCUUCGGGGUGUAAACCGCUUUCGCCUGUGACGAAGCGUGAGUGACGGUAAUGGGUAAAGAAGCACCGGCUAACUACGUG